AACGAACGCUGGCGGCAUGCCUAACACAUGCAAGUCGAACGAGACCUUCGGGUCUAGUGGCGCACGGGUGCGUAACGCGUGGGAACCUGCCCUUAGGUUCGGAAUAACUCCCCGAAAGGGGUGCUAAUACCGGAUAAUGUCUUCGGACCAAAGAUUUAUCGCCUUUGGAUGGGCCCGCGUUGGAUUAGCUAGUUGGUAGGGUAAAAGCCUACCAAGGCGACGAUCCAUAGCUGGUCUGAGAGGAUGAUCAGCCACACUGGGACUGAGACACGGCCCAGACUCCUACGGGAGGCAGCAGUGGGGAAUAUUGGACAAUGGGCGAAGGCCUGAUCCAGCAAUGCCGCGUGAGUGAUGAAGGCCUUAGGGUUGUAAAGCUCUUUUACCCGGGAUGAUAAUGACAGUACCGGGAGAAUAAGCUCCGGCUAACUCCGCG
Molecule: ribosomal RNA, 433 nt
Filed under: uncultured bacterium
Lineage: Bacteria
Description: partial 16S ribosomal RNA
Rfam family: Bacterial small subunit ribosomal RNA
Source: RNAcentral